GAUGAACGCUGGCGGCGUGCCUAAUACAUGCAAGUCGAGCGAACGGACGAUAAGCUUGCUUUUCUGACGUUAGCGGCGGACGGGAGAGUAACACGUGUAUCACCUACCUAUCAUUCGGGUAUAACUUCGGGAAACCGGCGCUAAUCCCGUAUAAUCUCUUGCACCGCAUGGUUCAAUAGUGAAAGACGGCCUUGCUGUCACUUAUAGCUGGAUCCGCGCUGCAUUAGCUAGUUGGUACGGUAACGGCUUACCAAGGCAACGAUGCCUAGCCGACCUGAGAGGGGGAUCGGCCACACUGGAACUGAGACACGGUCCAGACUCCUACGGGAGGCAGCAGUAGGGAAUGUUCCGCAAUGGGCGAAAGCCUGACGGAGCAACGCCGCGUGAGUGAUGAAGGUCUUCGGAUCGGAAAACUCUGUUAUUAGGGAAGAACAUAUGUGUAAGUAACUGUGCACAUCUUGACGGUACCGAAUCAGAAAGCCACGGCUAACUACGUG
RNAcentral lists this ribosomal RNA (497 nucleotides) under uncultured bacterium. RNAcentral describes it as "partial 16S ribosomal RNA". It matches the Rfam family "Bacterial small subunit ribosomal RNA", at positions 28 to 507 of the family's 1533-position model. The record is from RNAcentral.